This 422-nucleotide ribosomal RNA is filed under the name Verrucomicrobiota bacterium. RNAcentral's name for it is "Verrucomicrobia bacterium partial 16S ribosomal RNA". It matches the Rfam family "Bacterial small subunit ribosomal RNA", at positions 355 to 776 of the family's 1533-position model. The record is from RNAcentral. Lineage: Bacteria; Pseudomonadati; Verrucomicrobiota.
UGGGGAAUAUUGCACAAUGGGCGAAAGCCUGAUGCAGCGACGCCGCGUGAGGGAUGGAGGCCUUCGGGUUGUAAACCUCUUUCAGUAAGGGUGAAGGCUCUCUUUUGUGGAGGGUUGACAGUACUUGCAGAAGAAGCGCCGGCUAACUACGUGCCAGCAGCCGCGGUAAUACGUAGGGCGCGAGCGUUGUCCGGAAUUAUUGGGCGUAAAGGGCUUGUAGGUGGCGUGUCGCGUCUGCUGUGAAAUUCCAGGGCUUAACUUUGGGAUUGCAGUGGGUACGGGCAUGCUAGAGUGCAGUAGGGGAGAUUGGAAUUCCUGGUGUAGCGGUGAAAUGCGCAGCUAUCAGGAGGAACACCGGUGGCGAAGGCGGGUCUCUGGGCUGUUACUGACGCUGAGGAGCGAAAGCGUGGGGAGCGAACAGG